RNAcentral lists this unclassified non-coding RNA (317 nucleotides) under Hevea brasiliensis (rubber tree). Lineage: Eukaryota; Viridiplantae; Streptophyta; Magnoliopsida; Malpighiales; Euphorbiaceae. The record is from RNAcentral.
AGUUUCUCUGGUCCUAUCCCCAAUUCAGUUGGAUCACUGCAGCAGCUGGUUUAUUUGUCUCUAAAUUCGAAUGCCUUUACUGGACCAAUUCCACCUUCCAUUGGCAAUCUAUCUGAACUUUAUUGGCUGGAUCUAGCUGACAAUAAGCUUGAUGGGAACAUCCCUGUCUCCACAGACACUACACCUGGUCUUGAUAUGCUAGUUAAAACAAAACACUUUCAUCUUGGAAAGAAUCAGCUCUCUGGAGAAAUCCCGUCUAAACUUUUCAGCUCAGAUAUGACUCUCAUACAUGUGCUUUUUGACAGCAACAAACUCAC